UGGGGAAUAUUGGACAAUGGGCGCAAGCCUGAUCCAGCCAUGCCGCGUGGGUGAAGAAGGCCCUAGGGUUGUAAAGCCCUUUCAGCGGGGACGAUAAUGACGGUACCCGCAGAAGAAGCUCCGGCUAACUUCGUGCCAGCAGCCGCGGUAAUACGAAGGGAGCUAGCGUUGUUCGGAAUUACUGGGCGUAAAGGGCGCGUAGGCGGACAUCUAAGUCAGGGGUGAAAUCCCAGGGCUCAACCCUGGAAUUGCCUUUGAUACUGGACGUCUCGAGUUCGGGAGAGGUGAGUGGAAUUCCGAGUGUAGAGGUGAAAUUCGUAGAUAUUCGGAGGAACACCAGAAGCGAAGGCGGCUCACUGGCCCGAUACUGACGCUGAGGCGCGAAAGCGUGGGGAGCAAACA
RNAcentral lists this ribosomal RNA (402 nucleotides) under uncultured Afifella sp. Its description in RNAcentral is "bacterial SSU rRNA". It matches the Rfam family "Bacterial small subunit ribosomal RNA", at positions 355 to 774 of the family's 1533-position model. The record is from RNAcentral. Lineage: Bacteria; Pseudomonadati; Pseudomonadota; Alphaproteobacteria; Hyphomicrobiales; Afifellaceae.